Molecule: ribosomal RNA, 361 nt
Filed under: uncultured Sphingobacteriales bacterium
Lineage: Bacteria; Pseudomonadati; Bacteroidota; Sphingobacteriia; Sphingobacteriales
Description: bacterial SSU rRNA
Rfam family: Bacterial small subunit ribosomal RNA
Source: RNAcentral
CGGUACACUCUUCAAGGUGCUGCAUGGUUGUCGUCAGCUCGUGCCGUGAGGUGUCGGGUUAAGUCCCAUAACGAGCGCAACCCUUACCGUUAGUUACCAUCAGGUUAAGCUGGGGACUCUAGCGGGACUGCCACCGUAAGGUGAGAGGAAAGUGGGGAUGACGUCAAAUCAGCACGGCCCUUAUGUCCAGGGCUACACACGUGUUACAAUGGCCAGUACAAAGGGCAGCUACCGGGUGACCGGAUGCUAAUCUCUAAAGCUGGUCUCAGUUCGGAUCGAAGUCUGCAACCCGACUUCGUGAAGCUGGAUUCGCUAGUAAUCGCGCAUCAGCCAUGGCGCGGUGAAUACGUUCCCGGGCCUU